Molecule: ribosomal RNA, 936 nt
Filed under: Triticum aestivum (bread wheat)
Lineage: Eukaryota; Viridiplantae; Streptophyta; Magnoliopsida; Poales; Poaceae
Description: partial small subunit ribosomal RNA
Source: RNAcentral
AUGGAUAAAGGCCCUAAGGUAACUCAUCCCGAGUAUGUUGAUUUUAAUAGUGAUGAAGAUGACUUGCUAGGUGAUGAUGAUUUACUUAUUGAAAACUCUAGUGAUGAAUACUAUGAUGAAACGUCAAUAAAUCAUGCUAAUCAAGAUAAAACGAAUGACAAUGAUAAGGAGAAGAUUGAGCUUCUAACUAAAGAACUAAACACUCUUAAGUUAGCUCAUGAAACUAUCUUCGAAGAUCAUCGAGAAUUUUUAAGGGCUCAUGAGAAGUUACGCUUUGAAAAGCUCAAUCUUGAGCAAGAGCAUGAGUUCUUAAAGGCUAUCAAUGAUGAUCUUCGCAAGAAAAGUUCUUCUUAUAUUGCCAAGCAUUUACUCUUAUCUACUUACAUGCCUCAAGUCAAGUCUAGUAACAAGAACAAGAAAGAUUCUUCCUCUAGUAGUAACAAUAACAAUGCUAAAUCCAAUAUUGUUGCUUCUAGUAGUUCUCUUGAUUCCACUAAUGAUUCUCUUAGCCAAGUUACACUUGAGCAAGAAAAUAGCUUAUUGAAGGGAAUUAUAGAGAAAGGUGUAUACAAGAGCCUCCCGGGAGUAAGCAAUUCGAGGAAAUUGUACGCAAGCAAGGAAGGCACCGGAAGAAUCAAGGUGUUGGUUUUGAAUGAAAGUUCAAUGCCAAUGGAGUUGAGUGGGAAGAAGAUCAAUACCCCAAGACGAAGUUUGUUCCUCAACAAGAGAAGUAUGAUCCUACUUCCUUCAAGGGAACACAAGCACAAGAUGAUCUUCCACCACAAGACCACAAGAACAAAGGCAAGGACAAGCUUCAAGAGGAGAUUGGUGCAUUUGAGGAAGCACCUAAGGCCUUGGUCAAGUGGGUUCCUAAGACUACGUCAAGUUCUACUUCAUCAAGCACAACUACCACACCAAGGAUUCCCAUCAAGAUGA